UACGUAUGUUCCAAGCGUUGUCCGGAUUUAUUGGGCGUAAAGCGAGCGCAGGCGGAAUGAUAAGUCUGAUGUGAAAGCCCACGGCUCAACCGUGGAACUGCAUCGGAAACUGUCAUUCUUGAGUGCAGAAGAGGAGAGUGGAACUCCAUGUGUAGCGGUGGAAUGCGUAGAUAUAUGGAAGAACACCAGUGGCGAAGGCGGCUCUCUGGUCUGCAACUGACGCUGAGGCUCGAAAGCAUGGGUAGCGAACAGG
Molecule: ribosomal RNA, 253 nt
Filed under: uncultured bacterium
Lineage: Bacteria
Description: partial 16S ribosomal RNA
Rfam family: Bacterial small subunit ribosomal RNA
Source: RNAcentral